AUAUGGUAUGUGGAUAGAUAUAUUGUUGUGAAAUUGAAUCGAUAUCUUAGUGAAAGUCAAUUGUUAUUUGACGCAGUAUUUCUUGAAGACUCAGCGGUGCAAGUUUGGUCCCAAGUGCAUAUUCAACCACCAAAAAGAUAAACUUGCUUUGUCUACUUUGGAAAAUGGCGAUGGCUCUGCCUUACUAGAGAGGCCAUCUGAACCCCCAUGUGUGGUAUGAGUGCUACAAUUUCAUUGGUAUCAGCUAUCUAUUUCUUCUUGCAUUUAAAAUAUCAGUCCUGUUGAAAUUAUAUGACCAUCGGUAUCGUCAUCUCCAUCGAUGUACCUGUCCUCGCUGCUGCUUGGUUCGAAUAAUUUUUCUUUGAUGUUCUUAGGUUUUGAUCUUCGAUUUGAUAUGGUUACUUUUGUGUAAUUGAUGAUCUAGAUCUUUUUUCUAAUGUUUUGCAGGGGAAUUUACAUUACAUUCAAUUAGGAUUGAUCCAAAAUGGAUGUUUAAAACCCCAACAUUACCUCCAAAAAUCUCAUCAGGCGUACGAAAUGCAAUUUGAGUCCUGAUCAACAUCUGGAAAAGAGAGGCAUCACCACCAUGCCAUCAUUCUAAUUUAAAGUUAGGGGMUGUUUACCUAAAUCUUUUUAUCUUAUAAUUCUUAAAUUGUUUUAAGCAAGUGUGAUUAUGAUGGCGUUGUUGCUCAUAUAUUCUGUCUGAGGAGGCUGCCGACUUUUGUAUAAAAAGGAUAACUGCAGAUAAAGAGGGAAAUUGUCACAGUUAGCGGUUCACAUGAAAUUAUUGCAUUAUGGCUAACACCUUUGCAGACCACUUGCAAUCAGACGAGGCUUCGUCAUCUAUGCAAAGUAACAAACGUGGUUCUACAGACUAUAAAAAAGUUAGAAAAGAGAUGUCAUGUGAUAGAUAGAGUAUCAAGUUUUGCGAGGAGUUUAGGGAGGAUGUUAGAAAAUGGAUUUAUAGAUUGAUUGAAUGUUGGGGAAUGUUUUGAGAACUUAUUUUUU
Molecule: long non-coding RNA, 1008 nt
Organism: Cynara cardunculus var. scolymus (artichoke)
Lineage: Eukaryota; Viridiplantae; Streptophyta; Magnoliopsida; Asterales; Asteraceae
Exons: 5
Source: RefSeq, a predicted model, not a curated record